GACGAACGCUGGCGGCGUGCUUAACACAUGCAAGUCGUACGGUAAGGCCCUUUCGGGGGUACACGCGUGGCGAACGGGCGAGUAACUCGCGCGUAACCUGCCCACCACUUUCGGAUAAAGCACUGCAACUGACGCUAAUUAUGGCCAUGUGCUCCCGCCGCCUGGUGGGGGUUGGAAAGCUCCGGCGGUUGUGGAUGGACUCGCGGCCUACCAGCCUGUUGGUGGGGUAGUGGCCUACCAAGGCGGCGACGGGUAGCCGGCCUGAGAGGGUGACCGGCCACAUUGGGACUGAGAUACGGCCCAGACUCCUACGGGAGGCAGCAGUGGGGAAUAUUGCACAAUGGGCGCAAGCCUGAUGCAGCAACGCCGCGUGCGGGAUGACGGCCUUCGGGUUGUAAACCGCUUUCAGCAGGGACGAAGCUUUUUGUGACGGUACCUGCAGAAGAAGCACCGGCUAACUACGUG
Molecule: ribosomal RNA, 465 nt
Filed under: uncultured bacterium
Lineage: Bacteria
Description: partial 16S ribosomal RNA
Rfam family: Bacterial small subunit ribosomal RNA
Source: RNAcentral